RNAcentral lists this ribosomal RNA (441 nucleotides) under uncultured bacterium. RNAcentral's name for it is "bacterial LSU rRNA". It matches the Rfam family "Bacterial large subunit ribosomal RNA", at positions 562 to 1007 of the family's 2925-position model. The record is from RNAcentral.
GCUUACAGACGGUCAGAGGGGGUAAAACCCUGAUGGCGUGCCUAUUGGAGAAUGAGCCCGCGAGUCAAUAGCUGUGGCCAGCUUAAGGGAGUGACACCCGGAGGCGAAGCGAAAGCGAGUCUGAAUAGGGCGAUUAGUGGCAGUUAUUGGACACGAAACCAGACGAGCUAACCAUGUGCAGGGUGAAAGUCCGGUGACACGGACGGGAGGCCCGAACUCACGUUUAUGCAAAAAACGGGGAUGACAUGUGGUUAGGGGUGAAAUGCCAAACGAGUUUGGAGAUAGCUUGUUCUCUCCGAAAUAACUUUAGGUUAGCGUGUGGUGAUGACGACCGGAGGUAGAGCACUGAAUGGGCUAGGGGGCUGUGAGCUUACCGAACCCAAUCAAACUGCGAAUGCCGGUCGGUGAACCAUGCAGUCGGACGACUGGAGAUGAGUUCAG